This is a ribosomal RNA of 3000 nucleotides. It matches the Rfam family "Eukaryotic large subunit ribosomal RNA", at positions 435 to 3388 of the family's 3401-position model.
UUACUUUGCUUGUCUCUCCGUGUUCUUGUUCUAGUCCGAAUCAGACCUCUUUGUGUGGGUAUCAAAGGCUCAUUUUUGUUAUUUUCCUCAUCUUCAUAGCUGCUAAUCAUAAAUAUCUCCUUUUAUUUCAUGAAUCAAAGAGAACAAACUAAGUAAGUGAUUCAAUUUAACAAAACUUGGAAAUUUAUUAGAUAAUGCAUGCUCUUUAAAUUAACUUAUGAGAUUUAUAAUUAUACUUUUCAAGUGUAAUCCAUUGGCAGCGCGCGCCACUGGAGUGCUUCGGCAUCUAUGCACUCCCGGCACCUGCUAGCGGGCUCCCCAUUCAGCCCAUCUUGAAACAUGGACCAAGGAGUCUGACAUGUGUGCGAGUCAAUGGGUGAGUAAACCCAUAAGGUGCAAGGAAGCUAAUUGGUGAGAUCCCCUAGUGGGUUGCACCACCGACCGACCUUGAUCUUCUAAGAAGGGUUUGAGUGUAAGCAAGCUUAUCAGGACCCAAAAAUUGGGGAACUACGGCUAAGUAAGGCGAAGCCACAGGAAACAUGGGUGGAGGCCCGUAGCGAUACUGACGUGCAAAUCAUUCGUCUGACUGGGCAUAGGGGCAGUAGACUAAUAAAACCGUCUAGUAGCUGGUUCCCGCUAAAGUUUCCUUCAGCAUAGCUGGAGCUCGAGUGUGAAUUUUAUCGGGUAAAGCCAAAGACUGAGGCAUCGGGAGCGUAACACCCUCAACCUGUUCUCAAACUUUAAAUAGGUAGGAUGGCAUGGUUGCACUGAUCAGCCAAGCCAUGGAAUUAAGAGUCCAAGUGGGCCUUUUUUGGUAAGUAGAACUGGCAAUGCGGGAUGAGUCAGAAAUUGGGUUCUGGUGCCCAAUUCCGUGCUAAGCGAGAACUGACAAAGGGUGUUGGUCGAUUAAACUAGCAGCACGGUGGUCAUGGAAGCCAAAAUCCACUAAGGAGUGUGUAAAAACUCACCUACCAAAUCAACUAGCCCCAAAAAUGGAUGGCACUGAAGCAAGUGCCAAGCCCCGAUGAGUAGGAGGGCGAGGCGGUUGCUAUAAAACCUUGGGCGCAAGUUUAGGCACGCGCAGUCAUUGGUGUGGAUCUUGGUGGUAGUAGCAAAUAUUCAAAUGAGAACUUUGAAGGUCGAAGAGGGGAAAGGUUCUGUGUGAACGACACUUGCACAUGGGUUAGUCGAUACUAAGAGUCGGGGCAGAGAGCACGUCUAGCACGAGCAUCGAAAUGGAAUCGGGUUAAAAUUCCUUAACCGGGACAUGGUGGCUGAAGGCAAUGUUAGGGAAUCCAGAGAAAUCGGUGGGGGCCUUGAGAAUAGUUAUCUAUUCUGUUUGAUAGCCUACCUACCUUAGAAAUGGCUUAGCCAAAAGUGAGAACCAGCGGCUAGAAGAGCACCAUAUGUCAUGUGUUGUCCGAUGCGUCCCCAGCUGCCCUAGAAAAUCUAGAUGAUUGUGUGCCUCCCAGGCUUAGUCGUACUCAAACUGCAUCAAGUCUCCAAGGUGAACAACCUCUAUUUGAUGGGACAAUGUAGGCAAGGGAUGUCAGUAAAAUGGAUCACUUUGGAAAAAGGAUUAGCUUUGAGGGCUAGGUACGGGGGUCCCAGUCUCAAACCCGUUGGCUAUCGGUGGAUUACUCGAGCUGCUCCCACAACUAGAGCAGGUCACCACGUGCUAACUGGCAAAUAGACUGGGAAUGGCUCCUCACAGAGCCUUCCCCAGGCAUUGAACAGUUGACUCAGAACUGGUACAAACAAGGGGAAUCUAACUUUUUAGUUAAAACAAAAUAUUACGAUGGUCCCCCCGAUGCUCUAAAUGUUAAAGUGAAGAAAUUCAAACAAGCAUGGGUAAACGGUGUAGCCAAAUACCUUAUCAUAAAAUUAGUAACACGCAUGAAUAGAUUAAUGAGAUUCCAAUUAUCCCCAUCUACUAUCCAGCGAAACCAUAACUAAGGGAAUGAGCUUGCCAGAAUUAGUGGGGAAAGAAGACCCUGUUAAGCAUGACUCAAGUCCGACUUUGUGAAAUGACUUGAGAGGUGUAGGAUAACUGGGAGCCAAAAAUGGAAAAAGUGAAAUACCAUUACUUUUAACUUUAUUUACUUAUUUCAUGAAUCAGAGGCGGGGUGGAAAAAUGGCAGUUCAAUUCAAUGUUGUCUAAGAAGGAGUUAGAAAUAGGUGUGGAUUAACACUACCCCUCUUUUUGGACUGAAGACUUGUCUUUAUGAGCCGAUCCAGGUGGAAGACAAUGUCAGGUAGGGAGUUUGGCUAGGGUGGCACAUCUGUUUGAAGAUAACGUGUGUGUCCUAAGUUGAGCUCAAUGAGAACAGAAAUUUGGUGUGGAACAGAAGGGUAAAAGCUCGUUUGAUUUUGAUUUCUAGUUCGAAUAUGAACCAUGAAAGUAUGGCCUAAUGAUCCUUUAGAUCUUUGAAAUUUGAAGCUAGACGUGCAUGAAAAGUUACCACAAGGAUAACUACCUUGUGGUAGCCAAUCAUUCAUAGUGACGUUGCUUUUUGAUCCUUUUAAGUCAGCUAUUCCUAUCAUUGUGAAGCAGAAUUCACUAAAUGUUGGAUUGUUCACCCGCCAAUAGGGAAUGUCACUUAGGUUUAGACUAUCAUGAGAUAAGUUAGUUUUACCCUAUUGAUGAUGUUGUUGCAAUAGUAAUUCAACCUAGUAAAAGAGGAACUAUUGAAUUGCACAACUGGUCAUCGUACUUGGUCGAAAAGCCAGUGGCAUGAAGCUAUCGUGCACUGGAUUAUGACUGAAUGCCUUUAAGUCAACGUUCGGGCUAGAAUCGAUGUAUGUGCUCGCUGUUCAGUUACUGACCAAUAGUAGGUGCCCUUUAAACCCAAAGGCAUGUACGCCACACGGGCCGCCUUAAAGUAAAAUUCCAAUCGAGUAGCGAGUAGAUACCUUUGUAGAUGACAUAAAUAUGUGACGGGGAAUUGGAAGUGGUAGAGUGACCUUGCUACCGAGAUCCACUGAGAUUUAGCCCUUCGU